RNAcentral lists this ribosomal RNA (432 nucleotides) under Lelliottia amnigena. Its description in RNAcentral is "bacterial SSU rRNA". It matches the Rfam family "Bacterial small subunit ribosomal RNA", at positions 82 to 510 of the family's 1533-position model. Lineage: Bacteria; Pseudomonadati; Pseudomonadota; Gammaproteobacteria; Enterobacterales; Enterobacteriaceae. The record is from RNAcentral.
UUUUGGGUGACGAGCGGCGGACGGGUGAGUAAUGUCUGGGAAACUGCCUGAUGGAGGGGGAUAACUACUGGAAACGGUAGCUAAUACCGCAUAACGUCGCAAGACCAAAGAGGGGGACCUUCGGGCCUCUUGCCAUCAGAUGUGCCCAGAUGGGAUUAGCUAGUAGGUGGGGUAAUGGCUCACCUAGGCGACGAUCCCUAGCUGGUCUGAGAGGAUGACCAGCCACACUGGAACUGAGACACGGUCCAGACUCCUACGGGAGGCAGCAGUGGGGAAUAUUGCACAAUGGGCGCAAGCCUGAUGCAGCCAUGCCGCGUGUAUGAAGAAGGCCUUCGGGUUGUAAAGUACUUUCAGCGAGGAGGAAGGCAUUGUGGUUAAUAACCACAGUGAUUGACGUUACUCGCAGAAGAAGCACCGGCUAAAAUGGUUCAA